AUCAUAUAAUUAAUUUCUCACAACUAUUUAUUUAAACUAUUCCAAUGCUCACAAUCAUAUUUAUAAAUUAAAUAUUUUCAUAAAAGUUAGACUUUGGUUGGUGGAAUAGUGCGGUCCCUCUGCUUCUUAGUGUGUCUUCCACUGUCAAAUAAAGCAACCAAUAAAAGCACUAUAAGGUCUGCUACAAAUAAUUGAACCGACUAUACUAUCCACACAAAACCAAAAAUGGAAGCUGCAAUUUUCACAAAAAUCCUCUAUUUUUUCACUCUUUUUCUUUCCUUUUUAUUUAUAAUCACUUCCGUAACUAGCCAAUCUCCAUGCAAUGGUACAAUAGCCGAGUGUAAUGAAGAGUUGGAGAUUUUAAUGGAGUAUGAUAUUAGCCGAAGAUUUCUUGAAGAAAGAAAAAAGUAUAUUUCUCCUGGAGCUUUAAAACGAGAUCAGCCGAUUUGUAACGGCGGCGCUGGCGGCGGCGGCGAACCAUAUUCCCGCAGUUGCCUUCCGCCGCCGUCAAAUCCUUAUAAUAGAGGUUGUUCUAAAUAUUAUCGUUGUAGAGGUGAUCAAUGAUAUAAAAAAUAGGUGAUUCUGAAUUUUAUGUUUUUUUCUUCAUGUUGUGUUCCUGUAGUUGUUAUUUGUGGAUGAAAUUGUUUCUUUCAAUGCAACUAGCUAUUUAUUUAUUUUUUUAAUUAUGAAUUAGCUUGCACGACCUAGCUACUAAUAUUAAUGUUGAUAUUUCUUUAUAUACUUAAUUAUACUUGCCAAUAAUUAAUUGAAUAACAAUAAGCAAUCUAGGAGUUUUUGCAGAAUUUAUAAUUUUUGAUAAAUUUUUUAGUUUUGAAAACUUCAAGGAGGUUUCACAUCCGCUUCUUUAUUGCAGUAUGAUCGAGGGGGAAACAAAAAAUCAGGAAAUGUAUCUAGUACAACAGAAAUUAUUUUUAAUACCGUAAGGUUUUUCGAUAAUAUAAUUUCUAUGAAAAGUACGUUUAGAAAAUGAUAUGGUGUUUGAUUGGUGAGUGAAAAUAUUUUUUAAAAAUAUCUAUUAAAUAAUAAUAAUUAUAUUAACAAAUCUGAUAGUGUAACGAUAAAAAAAAAUAGUAUUAGAGAGAUUGAUAAAAAUAUUUAAGUGCAAGUUUGAGCAAUGAUGCAAAAUCAAAUAUUAAGAUAAUAGUUUUUUCUAUUACUGAAAAAAAGUUCUUUGAUAAUUUUCUAGUAGCGGAAAGCUAGGAAUUUAAGGGUGUUCAAAUUUAAAAGAGAUUUUAAAAAUGCACGAUAAAGAGUGUAAAAUAUGUGUUAUGUACCUCUAAAAUAUAAUAUUUUAUCGAUGUACACCGUAUAAUUUUUCGACAACGUGGCUUCGUCACUGCUAGUAGGAUGCUAGUUGGAAGAAAUUUUGCGAGGUUAGCUUUGUAAUGCCUUCGAACAUAAGUUUUUUUUCUUUCUUUUUCAAGUCAGUUAUUUUGAGUGACAAAGGCUUCAAUGGUAAUUUUGUACUUUAACUCAAAGGAUCAACGGUCUACCUAAUAAAACCACUCAUUUUCCAUUAAAACAUUUUCUAGAGAAAUAUUUUUUUCAUAGAAAAUAUUUUCCUUUCGUACCAAAUAUGCCCUAAAAGAAAAAAAAAAAAUUGGAGGUGGAGGUGGAGGUGCUCUGCCCAUUUGGCAACUUUCACUCACUCAUUAAGCAUUAAAUUCAGUUUCAAAAGGAAGGUCAUGAGUUUAUGCAGCACAGACUAUUUCAGAUGUUGGCACUAGUUGACAUUACCUGAGGAGAGUGUAUAUUCAGAAGGCACACUGAGUUUUGACUUACGGAUAUUUCGUUAGUAUUGUGGUACUCACCUGGUUGACCAACUACUGAUAUUGAAGUUUUUGCUAUGUUGCAUGGAAGGAUUAUAGAAGUAUUUCUCGUGGGGAUGAUUAUGUAUGAUAGAUGGGUUAGCUAUUCGAGUAGCGGAGUUGGAAUCGGCUAUGGCGAUUCAUGUGCUCUAUGAAAUUGGAGGGUGGAAGUUCUCAGAAGCAGAUUGUUUCUGUGGCAAAAGUUACCAACUGGUAGUAUGUGUUAAGGGAGUAAUUAAAAGAUUUUCUUUGCUUGUGCCUGGAAACAUAUUUGGGCCUUUAUUUCAAUUGUUUUCAACACCUUGAUAUCUUUACUCUGUUCCAAUUUGGAUCCUUGGUUUUCACUAUUGGAACUCGUGUUACAAAGGUUUUGUUUUCAUGUUCUACUUGACUUUAAAAGUUUUCGUUAAUUCUAGACUUUAAGGACCGCUUAAGUACUUGGCUUUCUUCAUACCAAGCAAAAUGAUGAGGAACAAAAAGGAUGAAAAAGAACUACAUUAAACUUUAAACUUACCUUUGCACCACCAGCCAAAGUUUAAUUAGUCAAUAUAUAAGACAUAAUCUAAUAUUAUGAUUUUUCUAGUAAUUAUUAUGGUGGAUUUUUUAUUUCAGCUAUUAGCUAAUAUUAAAUAUAAUUAAUUUCGUCUAUCUAUUCGAAUCAAGAAAUUACAAACACGAUUUUAUAUACUAAGUGACAAGUCAAAUUAAAUAGGAGUACGUCAUACUAGUCAUUUUAUACGAAUAAACAGAACUCUUUUAAUAACACUAGAAACUACUACUCCAAUAGACAACAACAACUCUGUAAUAAUAAAACUAAUUAUUGCAAGAGUUCUGUUUAUUCCUGGAACAGUUUUAAUUAUUUUAAAAUUAUGGCAAGUUCUUUGGAAUUUGGGUUUAGAGAUUUCAUUGUUUAGUUAAAGGUAGGUACGCUACUGCAUUUCAAGCUCUCAGACAGAAAGGAGCUUUGACACCUUUUCUGUCCAAGGUGUGGAUUAAAGAGAUUCCAUUUAAAAUAUCUUUUUCAUAUGGAGAAUGCUAAAGAACAGGCUGCCUUUAGAUGAUUGAAUCCAAUUGCUUAGUCUCCAGGUGGCCUCUAAUUGUUGUUGCUGCAGAAUUCCCAUGGAAAAGACACUGAACCAUGUAUUUGCGAAAGGUGAUAUGUGCCAAAAAGGUAUGGGAGGUAACUGCUAGACCGCUUGGAAUGGGAAUACAGUGAUAGACAUGUUAUUAAACUGGUGGAAUACUCAUUCCAAAAACACUGUCCGUAAAUUCAUUCUUCUGAGUACUCCUUUAGUUAUUUGCUGGGAGCUAUGGAAGGCCAGGUGUAGCAGAAAGUAUGGACAGAAAACUACCUCAAUUACUAGAAAUUCACACCUAAUUUUGACACAAGUAAAACUGUCAAUAGAUAAGAAAUUCAGUAAGAUGAAUGAGCAAUGGAAUUGGAACUUUGUUUGCAUGAUUGCAGAAGGUUACAGGCCUACAAUUAGAAGCUUGAUAGUCAGAUGGAAGGAGCCAGAGGGAGGAGGCAUGGAAACUUAACACAGACGGCAGUUUCAUGAAGGAACUACGGCGUGCGGGACUAGGAGGUGUUGUUAGGAAAGGAAGUGUCGAAAUAGUCAUGGCAUUUGCUAAACCAUGCCAAUUCUUGACUAACAACUACAGCGUGGUUCAAGCUGCCCUGUUUGGUCUGAAAUGGUGCUGCAGACAGAAUUUUAAUCACCUGACCCUCGAAAUGGACUCAUUGAUUCUUGUCAACAUAAUCAGUGGAAAAUACAAAAUCCCAUGGAGUUUGCAUAGUGCUAUUGGGCAGAUCCAGGAACUUGUUCAACAAAGGAAUAUCACUGUAGUUCACUGCUACAGGGAGGGUAACGCAGUCGCGGAUUUCUUGGCAAAGUUUGCCACACAUAUGGAGGGCUCAGUACUAUACUUAAGGGAAGAAGACAUGGCAACAGAGAUUCGAGCUCACGUGCGCAUGGAUGCCUCGAAGAUCCCUGUUUUUCGCUUCAAAACUACCAAACAUUCAGGCUGGUGUUUUCAACCUCCAUAAUGGUUUUGAGGAAUUGAGGAAGUAGGGGAGAGUAGAAAUGAAAUAUUUUAUCAACUAAUAUAAGGAGGAGCACGGGUAGGCUUCUUUAGUGGCAUGAAGAUUCUGGGGUUGUAUAGUUGUGUAACGACCCGAUUGGUCGUUUUGAGUAUUUGCACUUCGCUCGAUAGUUUGAGGGUACAAGUAUCUCCGCAUGAUAUAUUAUGACUUAUGUGAAUCGUCGGUUUUGGUUUUCAAGUUAUUCGGAAUUGAUUUGGAAGAAUGAAUUUCAAGAUUGAAGCCUUAAGUUGGAAGAGUUGAUCAAGUUUGACUUUUUAGUAUUUGACCUCGGAUUGGAGUUUUGAUGGUUCUGUUAGGUCCGGAUGGUGAUUUUAGACUCGAGCAUAUGCCCGGAUUUGCAUUUGGAUAUUUCUAGAAGGAUUUGGCACUAAAUGGCGAAAGUUGGAAACUUGAAGGUUUGGAAAGCUCAUAAGUUUGACCGGAAGUUGACUUUGAGGAUAUUGGAUCGGAAUUGUAGUUCUGGGAAUUGGAAUAGCUUCUAUACAUCAUUUGGGACUUUUGUGCAAAAUUAGAGUUCGUUCCGGGUUGACUUGAUAUGAUUCGGCGCGAGUUAUAGAAGUUGAAAGUUCAUAAGUUCAUUAAUUUCGAUUUGAGGUGUGAUUCGAAAUUUGGACGUUAUUUGAUGUAAUUUGAGGCCUUGAAUAGGUCUGCUUUGUAUUACGAGACUUGUUGGUAUAUUCGGACGAGGUCCCGAGUGGCUUGGGUGAGCUUCAGAUAGGUUUAGGUUGUGUUGCGCUUGUUUUUUAUGCUUUGGCGUCGUUUCCUCAAACAUAUUUAGCUCCACAUUAAGCAAAUGAGCUCCAAAUUUAGUUUUUAUUGAAGCAUUACAUUCCUAUCGUAAUUUCGGAGUCAUAACAAUUUAUUAAUUGAAAUUGUCUUCUCCUACAUUAUGUGAUAUAUUUAAGUCGUCUUUGGCUAAAUUGAGCCUGGAAGAGGUGAAUGUAAAGGAAGAAGCUAAAUUGAGUAUUUAGUUGGCUGAAUUUAGGUAAGUGUCUUACCUAACUUUAUUGAGGAAAUUUUUCCUACUAUUUGACAUUAUUUGCUACAUGCAGGGGUGAUAUAUAUAUGAGGUGACGAAUAUAUAUGCAUGUGCCAGGGUUAAUUAUGCUCGGGGUAGAUUAUGCUAUGAAUUGUGCCUUGUAGAAUUACGUGACCUUCUUGCUUCAUGUUACGGGACCUUCUUGCUUCAUGUCUUACUUAACUCACAGAUACUAUGAAUAUAGAAUUAAAUAUUAGAAACCAAGAUUUAGUUUAUUAUAACUUGAUUAAAAUUUGACGGAAUUCUGAGAAACAUUGAUGUGUCUAAUUCGGUCAUCAUUAUGCUUAAUCAUUAAUACAUUGCUACGACCAAUAUUGUUGAGAUAUUAUAUUCUAUACUCGUGUUGUAGAUCAUUCUUGAGAUUUGUUGAAAUACUUGAAUAAUAAGGUUCUUGAGGAUUUAUUGAACUAUUGUUGGCUUUAAAGUUGUGAUUGGGGUUCAUUUGGAAUAUUCGUUUAAACACUCUCCUUAAUGUUAUUUAUUCUUCCUACCUUAUUUGUCAUUGAUAUACAUAUGCUUGGUAAGGAAGAGUGUAAAUGCACGAAAGAUGAUGUCGUGCCAUGUUAUGUGAGUGUAAAGCACGAAGGGUGAUGUCGUGCCAUUUCAUUCAAGUGUAAAGCACGAAGGGUGAUGUCGUGCCAUGUUAUGUGAGUGUAAAGCACGAAGGGUGAUGUCGUACUAUUUAAUUUGAGAGUAAAAGCACGAAGGGUGAUGCCGUGUCAUUUUAUUUAUAUUAUCAAGCUUUUAUAUUAUCACGAGUUCAUGGCACGAUGGGUGUUUCCGUGCAGGCGAGGACGAGGGACAUGCAUUAUGUUGUGAUAUCUUUUCCUCGUGUUACGUUCAUGCCUUUACAUUGAGCUGUUAUUGUCGUACUUAUGGUUCUUAUGUGACUUAUCGUUAUUGUCCUGUCCUUGUCCUCUAUCUUAAUUGUUAUUGUGUUGCCCAACCUUAUACUUGCUUGACUUGCAAAUACCAUGUCUACUUCCUAUUGUUAUAAUUACAUCCAUGUCGUAUCUAUUUUGUUGCAGUUUAGUAUAAACCUUCUACUAUGUUAGUCAUUCAUGCCUCUACUUGUUAACCUAUAAAGAUCAUAUGUUCCCUUCUUAUGUGUUAUAUCUAUAUGUAGGCCUCCACCAUGCUAGUUAGUUGAAGUUUAUAUUCCUUCUUCCUAAUUGCUAUCAUUUUUUCAUAUGCCUUCCGCCUAGUCUCUUACUGUUGCCCAUAUAUACAACCUCGUUCAUUAUUGCUAUUUGCGUAUUUUCUACUUGUCAUUACUGUUAUCGGCACUUCUGUCAUCUAGUUGGUACUGUAAUAUGCAUAUUUGGUGAGGAUGAGAUAAAUGCAUGAAGGGUGUUUCCGUACAAUACUUGAUAUCUAAAUACAUUCCUCACGCUAUGAAAGUUAUGGAGUGACUAUCGUGGUUUAUUGGUUUUCGUACUAAGGAAAAGAUUGGUCGAGAUAUUGGAAAAUGUUAAAUUGUGAUCUCUUCUAGUACUCAAUUAUUGCUUUGCAUCAUUUUGUGUACUCUUUUCUGUUAUAUCAUGGUAUAGUUUUAUUGCUAGUUUACAGUACAGGUUUAUCAGUGAGUAUAUUUUAGCUAAAGGCCUCAUCACUACUUCGAUGAGGAUAGACAAGAUACUUACUAGGUACAUGAGGCUGGUUAUACUCAUACUACACUUCUGCACCUUGCGUGCAGAUUUUUGGAGCGGAGCUGCUGGUGAUGUCAGGAGUUGACUCUGAAGAUGUUCGUGCAUUACGGAUAUAGUUGCCAUUUGUCCUAUGUAGCUUUAGAUUUUGCUAAUCUGUUUAUGUAACUUUCAAACAGAUCGUGUAAUUAUUUGUACCAGCUUUGUAAUUUUCAAUUCUUAAAAGCUCAUGACUCGUACUACUAGUCCUUGGGUUAAUGUAUAAAUGUUCAAAUUAUUCUUCACUGUUUUUCUAUAAAUCUCAUUUGGAUUGUAUUGACUGUUAGUUGUCUUACCUAGUAGGUCGAGUUAGGUGCCAUCACGAUUGGUCAAUUUUUGGUCGUAACAAGUUGGUAUCAGAGCACUACGUUCGUAGGUUCUACGAGUCAUGAUCAAGUGUCUAGUAGAGUCUUAUGGAUCAGUAUGAUGACGUCCAUACCUAUCUUCGAGAGGCUACAGGGCACUUAGGAAAAAUUUCCCUUUCUGCUUUCCUUAUCGUGCGGCCUUGUUUCAGCUUGAAACCUAUGAUUUUGAUUCUUCCCAAUCGUUCAUAUGUGAUGUUGCGUACUCAGUAUUCACUAUGUGUCGAGAAUCUGUGAUGUUGCAGAUAGGUUACGGAGGGCUAUAGAUUCUUGUUUGUCAUUGCAAUAUGAUGUCUAAUCUUGGAAGCAGAUGAAGUGUUAAAUCUUUUAGUCGUUCAAUUGAUGUACGAGGCGGGUUCUUAUUUUCGGUUAGUAAGCACAGACUUGGGAAAAUUGGUUGGUAGCCUAGCUGUUGUGAUAAAGGUAGGUUCAUGGUAAUGUGUCGAUUUGAGUAUAGUUGGUGGGCCACCUACUGCGUGAGGAGUUGUGACCAUGUGUUUAGUAUGAAUUUUCCAUUUGGUGGGAUGCAGAUAUUAUCAUUUCAGAGCAAAUGGGGAAGUUGUUUGACUAUUGCAAGGAUGGGUAAACGUUUUGCAGAGUUUUCGAAGUGUCCUAAUGACUAGUAUUGCAUGAGUGUUUGAAGUAUUCAGCUAAAAGGUCUUGUGGGAUCGGGGCAUGUUAUGAAGAUGUGGUACUUUGGAUUACCAACGAUGUGUUCUAUGGCUUCAGAAUAAGUGGGGGAGUCUGCUAAUGACGAUCGAAUUGUAGGAUCAUGCGUUGUAUCGGUUUUCGGGCCGAGGGAUUACUUGGUUAUUCCUUAGAAUAGUCAUGUGCGGGUGAAACACGGGUGCUCGAUGUGUAUUAGUUUUGUAUUGAAGAUCAGAGUAAGGUGAGUGGUUAUCAAGAAGGUUCUGACAGGUUCCAAGUCUUAUGUAGCAUUCUUCUGAAUUGGUGUACGGGUAGGGUUAAGUUCGGUAGCGAAUGGCGAUCGGACCUGCGGUAUUUCUUUGUCAACAAAGAUUUUACAUGACAAUGUCGGAGAGAUAUAAGAAAUGGAUUUGGGUUACUAGGAGGUUCCUUCAGGGCAAUCAUAUUGGAUUGAGUUACUUCUGGGUGAUUCGGUUAUGUUAGAGAUGAUCAGUCCUGAUAACUCGAUCAUUUGUUAUUGAGUUCCAAAGAAUUCAUCAUGGUUAUGACCACGGUCGGAGUGGGUGUUUGCUACAGGUAUAGAAGCUAUAUAGUGUGUGUGGUGAUGUUCUCCAAGAUUGAGUUAAAUGUAAGGUUCGCGAUUGAUGAGAUGUUCAAUUUGCUCAAGGUUCACAGUGGAUUGUUGAAUUUUCAUAGGGUCAAAAGUUAGCAUGUUAGAGGCGAUACGCCGUGUGGGGUUGAAAUAUUAUUUGUACAAGGUUGCAGUUUAGUUUUGGAGGGAAGGAUAUGAGUUCUUGGUGACACAGACGAUUUCGGGUGUUAAAGAUUAUGCUGGCAUUAUUUGUUUUCGCCAAAGGAGAGUUUGCCUAUUGGCAGAUGCAUUGUGUUUUGACUUAUGAGUAUUUUUCUGUAAGAUGAUGGAGUAUGAAUGACGUAUCAGCCAUUUGAGUAGCGGUGUUGAGAUCGGAUAUGGAAAUUCUGGUAUACAUAAGGUCCAGAGACGGGAUGUUCUUGUUGGCAGACUAUUCCUUGAUUGCGAAUUGUGAAGGAAUGUUGAGGAUUGGGUGAUUGAUGAUAUGUGUCAUGGAAAGGUUGCUAUGGGCUAUUGGAAGGUUAUUUACCUGUUCGGGAAUGAUCGGAAUCUGGCUUGAGGAUUAUUUGUAAGCCUAAUGAGAAUGUGUAUCCUGUAUCAGAUCGGAUUUGCUUGCUCCUGUGCAGCUGUUACCACAUGUAUAUCAUCGGGCGGAACGGAUGUUAUUCGUGCAUUGGUCUAUGUUAUGUGUUUCUCUCUUAUUUUAUAACGGGUUGUGAGGGUUACAUGAUUUUUCGCACGCAUAUGGUAAUUUCGUUUAGGCUUUACGGCGUUAUGGGCGAGAAGGCCCUCUUGAUGUUGACUUGCUGAUUGCACCAUAGUUGUACUUGUCUUUCUCGACAGUGUUUGUGCCUAACCAUCUUCCCAUAACUAUAUUUUGUGCACCUUAUCGUGCUUAAUGUUGACACACAUGUGAUCUGUGAGCCCAAGUAUUAUGGCUCGAUAGGUACCCUAUGUGGAUUGAUAUGAUGGGAUCGGGUUGCGCACCGCAAUGGUACUAUGAUGAAAUGUAACCAUUUAUGCUUGUUUCGUGUAUUUUACUUUCACCUUAUUAAAAAUAGUUCAUAGGGAAUGUUAAAAUUAUCCCGCCUGCUUAACUUGCUUAAUAGCCUUUUUAUUUAACUUUCUUACUAUUACCUAUCAUGUCUGAAUUAUUACUUGUUAGUAUACGGAACCGUGUUGUGUGGGGCUCUAUAUGAUUAUUAUUGAGACUUGUUGGAGGAGCUGCUUGUAUUGGCUGAUAUGAGGUUUCUAGACCUAAGAUUUGCACUAUUGUAUUAUGAUAAGGAAAGUUUGGAAGAAUGAUACUAUGUUUCUGCGGAGCAUUUGGGCAAUGGCCCUAGUCGGACGAAUGAGCUUCUUGGUGUAUUGAUCAGAUGAGUAGUUAAGAGAUUAUGCAUGUUUCUUUCAUUAUCGGCAAUGUAUGAAGGUUUUGAACGAGGUUCUAAUCGAUAUGAGGUUUACUAGCAGUGCCGAAUUUAUUUUUGGGCAGCCAUGGUGGUCGACAGUUACUGCAGUGAGUAUCUGAGUGAUGGAGUAUAUCAUGUGAUUACAUCUUGAGUUAUUAUUAUGACUUAAUACAACCUUUUUAGACUUAUACAAUGUGUAGAUGUGAGAUUCGGGUCUUUAAUAAAUUCUAGAUGUUGGAGAUUGGGUUCUAAGUUUUAAGCACCAAGGUUGAAGUAAGGGUCUUUAGUUAUGUUGUGUUGGCAGGCUUAUUUGGAGCGGGGUGAUGUGGGAUCACCCCCGGGUAUGUUCAUGCUAAGGUUACACCGUGAUUUGAUAGCUUUGGAAUGACUCCUGGUACGUUCAAGGAUGAACGUAUGUUUAAGCGGGGGAGGAUGUAACGACCCGACUGGUCAUUUUGAGCAUUUGCACUUCGCUAGGUAGUUUGAGGGCACAAAUAUCUUCGCAUGAUAUAUUAUGACUUGUGUGAAUCGUCGAUUUUGGUUUUCAAGUUAUUCGGAAUCGAUAUGGAAGAAUAAACUUCAAGAUUGAAGCUUUAAGUUGGAAGAGUUGACCAAGUUUAGCUUUUUAGCAUUUGACCUCGGAUUGGAGUUUUGAUGGUUUCGUUAGGUCCGGAUGGUGAUUUUGGACUUGGUCGUAUGCCGGUAUUUGCAUUUGGAUAUUUCUAGAAGGAUUCGGCACUAAAUAGUGAAAGUUGGAAACUUGAAGGUUUGGAAAGUUCAUAAAUGUCACGCCCCAACUUCGGGAGGCGCAACCGGCGCUCAAUCGAGUGAACCCAACUAAGCAAGCCUUAUCAACCGCUAUCUACCCAACUCGAUAGGAAUAAGGAAACCAUGCUUACCUUUAUUUAAACUAGGAAAGAUAGUACAUUCAACAUCUUAGUUCAUUUUAUAUCGCAACAUUUAAACGUGGUUAAACUUCCAAGGUUCCAUACAAGUUAUAGUUUAGAAGAAAGCAAGAGUACAAGGUUACAACAUGGUCCAUUGACCUAUCCAAUACCCAUACAUAACCCACACAAACGUCUACGGAGCCUCUAAGGAUACAAAAGAUGUGAUAACAAUGUCGGCAACAAGGCCCCGACUAUACCUCAAAAGUGAAAGUCCAAAAUAAGAAGAUGUACAAUAUAACCCCUUGAAGGAGAAAGGGGCUCACCAAGACUUUGAGAAUAAGGUACUCCGCUAUGUGCGAUCAGCACUAUCCGCAAUGGAGCCACCUACAUUCAUAAAAAAAUGUAGCGCCCCCUGCAAAAGGGACGUUAGUGCCAUCGAAUAGCAUUAGUAUGUAUACCUAAACACCAUUUUACUAGAAAGAACUAUCAAGAAAGUACAAGCAAAUCACAUGAGUAAAUCAAAAUAUGCAAUUCAUUCAAUCCUUCAUAUAAUUUCCAAAACUUAGUUUGGGGCAUUUCUUUUAUAUCUUCAUCAUUGUUCUCAAUACCACGCUAUCUUGAGCGGAGUCCGAUCACGACCCGACCGGCUAGGUUGCCUCAUUGGAGGCAUUAUCUCAAUCACUAUUUCAUUUCCCUUAUCCGAAAUUCAAUAUCAACACAUUACCACCAUGUGUACGGCAUGGUGUCCGAUCAUGACCCGAUCGGCUAGGCCGCCUUAUCUAGGCGUUGUUCCUUUCUCAUUAGUCAUCACAUCUGAAUCUUUAUUUCAUAUAUAUUAUAUUAAUUCCUUGCUACUCAGGGCCACCAUUAUCACAUCGUUUUCCAUUUUCAGUAUUCAUCUUGCACCUCUUUCAAUUGUGCUAACAAUGGAUCGUUGAAUUGCUUUUCCUUCACCUCCACUACAAGUGAUGAUUCGGACCUAUUCUAUAUAAUUACCCCUCAUUCACUAGAGUCCGCAAGGCGAACUCCCAAACUGGCCAACUGGUAAACCUCGCUGUCUAACGGCCCCUGAUAUGCCCCCAAAUGAGCCAAACUCCCCAUAGAUUUUCGACUGAGUGCAUCUGCCACGACAUUAGCCUUUCCCGGGUAAUAGAGAAUGUCGAUGUCAUAGUCCUUGAGUAACUCUAGCCAUCUUCUUUGCCUCAGAUUCAACUCUUUCUUCUUGAAAAUAUAUUGAAGGCUCUUAUGAUCCGUAAAUACAUCCACAUGGACCCCAUACAAAUAAUGUCGCCAAAUCUUUAGUGCAAACACCAUUGUUUCCAGCUCUAGGUCAUGGGUUGGAUAGUUCUUCUCAUGAUUCUUGAGUUGCCUAGAAGCGUAGGCUAUAACCUUGCCGUGUUGCAUCAACACACACCCAAGCCCGAUCCUUGAAGCAUCGCAAUACACCACAAAUCCCUCUGUACCCUCUGGCAGGGCUAAUACCGGUGUUGUUUUCAACCUUGAUUUCAAUUCUUGGAAACUCUUUUCACAAGCAUCGGACCAUUGUAAUUUAACUACUUUCUGCAUCAAUUUAGUCAAUAGAGAGGCAAGAGUAGAAAACCCCUCCACAAACCUCCUGUAGUAUCUAGCCAAACCCAAAAAACUACGGAUAUCGGUUGGAGUGGUAGGUCUAGGCCAAUUCUUCACUGCUGCAACCUUCUGAGGAUCAACCAUAAUUCCUUCCCUGGAAAUGAUAUGACCCAAGAACGCGGCAGAUUCAAGCCAAAAUUCACAUUUUGAAAAUUUUGCAUACAGUUGAUAUUGCUGAAGAGUCUGCAAAACUGCCCUGAGAUGGUCAGCAUGGUCCUCCCGACAUUGGGAAUAUACCAGAAUGUCGUCAAUGAAAACUAUCACAAAGGCAUCUAGAAAGGGCUUGAAGACUCGAUUCAUAAUGUUCAUGAAAGCUGUGGGGGUAGUUGUUAGCCCAAAAGACAUCACCAUAAAUUCGAAGUGCCUAUACCGAGUUCUGAAGGCUGUUUUUGGAAUAUCCUGCUCCCUUAUCUUCAAUUGGUGAUACCCAGACCGCAAGUUAAUCUUUGAGAAACACGUAGCACCCUGCAAUUGAUCAAACAAUUCAUCAAUUCUUGGUAGAGGAUAUUUGUUUUUUAUUGUGACUUUGUUGAGUUGCCCGUAGUCAAUAUACAUCUGCAGCGAUCCGUCUUUCUUUCUCACAAACAAGACUGGUGCGCCCCAUGUCGACACACUCGGCCGAAUGAAACCCUUCUAUAACAAUUCCUUCAAUUGCUCCUUUAGCUCUUUCAAUUCUGUCGGUGCCAUUCUAUAAGAUGGAAUUGAUAUAGGCUGCGUGCCUGGCAUCACAUCGAUACCAAAGUCAAUCUCCCUAUCUAGGGGAAUCCCAAGGAGCUCAUCUGGAAAGAUAUUUGGGAAUUCAUUCACAACCGGUACAGACUCAAGGCUAAGAGCCUCGGCAUCGACAUCCGUAACCCGAACUAGAUGAUAGAUACACCCCUUCUUGAUCAUCUUCACGGCCUUAAGGUAGGAAAUAAACCGACCUCUAGGCACUACAUUAUCACCCUUCCAUUCAAUAACGGGCUCAUCAGGGAAUUCAAGCAUAAUAGUUCUAGUCCGACAGUCAAGUUUAGCAAAGUAUGAAUAAAGCCAAUCCAUCCCUAUUAUUACAAUCAAAUUCGACCAUCCCUAACUCAACAAGAUCGCCCGUGGUAUCCCUACCCCGCACCGUGACAAUACACCCUCUAUAGACUCGAGCAGCCAAAAUUGACUCUCUAACCGGGGUAGAUACUGAGAAUGGUUCAUGAAGUUGUUCUGGUUCUAUCCCGAAUUCCAUAGCAACAAAAGGGGUAACAUAGGAUAAGGUGGAAUUGGGGUCAAUAAGUGCAUACACAUCAUGAGAUUGGACAGUCGGAAUACCUGUAACAACAUCUAGAGAAGCCUCUGCGGUCUGGCAACCACUCAUAGAAUAGAAUCGGCUGGGUCCUCCUAAACUUUGCGCACCACCCCUAGCUGCACCACGCCUUGCGUGUGAUGGGGUACCUCGAGCUGGAGAGGGGGCUGAAGAUGUAGCAGCUGCUGGACUGGUGGGCUAAGCUGCGCCCUUACCUGCUCCCCGGCGAGACACACGACAAUGUCUCUGAAUAUGACCCCUGACCCCACAUCCAUAGCAUAUAGGUAACUCCAUAUAGCAAAUUCCCAAAUGCAUCUUCCCGCAUCUGGGGCACGGGGACCUAUGUUGCUGCUGGAACCUCUCUCUUGAUCGACCCCGCUGAUGGGAUCCCCUAUUGCCCUGACCGGGCCUGAAACGACUCCACUACUGCUGGCUGGGCCCUGAUGGCGGUGCACUAGCUGAAGACUGUGCAAUAGACUGGGAAGGCCCUGAUGAUCCUCCCUUGAAAGCUAAUCUUCCCCCACCUAGUGACUCUUCCAUGUUGCCUGUGGGCCUGGCCUUGCUGUUACCCUCUCUCUCCAUUUUGUUCUUCAACUUGCGGUUCUCUGUAGCCUGAGCAAAAGCUACCAUCAUCCCAUAAUUCAUAUCCGAAUUCAAUGCAGCCGUAGAAGCCUCAUUAAUGGUCAAAGAAUUAAGUCCCUGAACAAACCGGUGCACCCUGGACUCCAUUGUGGGCAAUAUAUGAAUGACAUAUUUUGACAAGCGAACAAACUUUAUGUGGUACUCCCACACACUCAUGUUACCUUGCCUCAAGUUUUCAAACUCCGCUGCACGGGCUGCCCUUGUCUCGGCGGGCAGGAAAUGAUCUAUAAAGGCGUUUGCAAACUCACUCCAUCUUGCCGGAGGACGCCCCUCCUCACGGGAAUCCUCCCACAACUCAAACCACGAAUAUGCCACCCCUUUCAGGCGAUAGGCAGCCAACUCCACCCCCUCUGUCUCAGUUGCACGCAUCACCCUGAGGGUCUUGUGUAUCUCAUCAAUGAAAUCUUGGGGGUCUUCUUCUGGAUUGGCACCCGUAAAUACCAGAGGGUCUAACUAAAGGAAUCUAUUUACCCUGGAACUAGUAGAAUCCCCUUGUUGGUUGGAUGAAAUGGGCACAACAUUUUAUCUCUGGGCCUGAGAGGCCACUAAUUGGGUCAGCAUCUGAAUAGCUCCCCUAAGAUCCCCAUCAGAAAUACCAGAACCUGAGGUUGGGGCUGGAGGUGGGACAUAAGUAUCAAUGGGAGGGAUAGUGGUACCCUCCGUAGGUGUAGGAACUGGGGUAGUCUAUUCUGGAAUAGAAGGAUCCGGCAGAGUAAUAGCAGGGUGACUACCCUCACCCGCAACAUCAAGUAGUGAAUCAUCAGCCACUCCUGGGGUGGCAUUGGCUUCUUGACCAAUUUUCGCUUUCUUCUUAGGUGUUAUUUACUGAAAGAUAGAACAACGCACUAAUUAGGAAGAAAACAGUUUCACCGCACGAUUAAGAAUAUCAAAGAAAGGUGUUAUUCCUAUAUGCCCAAGUAGCCUCCAACUUAUAGAUGUGGUCGACAACAUACUGAUAAGAAGGACUCUAGUAGACACGGCACCGAGACAUCCUAGGACACUUUAAAAUGUUAGGUUUGAUACCAAGUUUGUCACGCCUUAACUUCGGGAGGCGCGACCGGCGCUCAAUCGAGUGAACCCAACUGAGCAAGUAUCAACCGCUAUCUACCCAACUCUAUAGGAAUAAGGAAGUCAUGAUUACCUUUAUUUAAACUAGGAAAGAUAGUACAUUCAAAAUCUUAGUUCAUUUUAUAUCACAACAUUUAAAACGUGGUAAAACUUCCAAGGUUCCAUACAAGUUAUAGUGUAGAAGAAUGAAAGAGUACAAGGUUAUAACAAGGUCCAUUGACCUAUCCAAUACCCAUACAUAACUCACACAAACGUCUACAGAGCCUCUAAGGAUAGACGUGAUACAAUGCCGACAACAAGGCCCGGCUAUACUUCAAAAGUGAAAGUCCAAAAUAAGGAGAUGUACAAUAUAACCCCUUGAAGGAGAAAUGGGGCUCACUAAGACUUUGAGAAGAAUGUACUCCGCUAUGCGCGAUCGGCACUAUCCGUAAUGGAGCCACCUAUAUUCAUAAAAUAAAUGUAGCGCCCCCGGCAAAAGGGACGUUAGUGCCAUCGAAUAGCACUAGUAUGUAUAACUAAAUACCAUUUAACUAGAAAGAACUAUCAAGCAAGUAAAAGUAAAUCACAUGAAGUNNNNNNNNNNNNNNNNNNNNNNNNNNNNNNNNNNNNNNNNNNNNNNNNNNNNNNNNNNNNNNNNNNNNNNNNNNNNNNNNNNNNNNNNNNNNNNNNNNNNNNNNNNNNNNNNNNNNNNNNNNNNNNNNNNNNNNNNNNNNNNNNNNNNNNNNNNNNNNNNNNNNNNNNNNNNNNNNNNNNNNNNNNNNNNNNNNNNNNNNNNNNNNNNNNNNNNNNNNNNNNNNNNNNNNNNNNNNNNNNNNNNNNNNNNNNNNNNNNNNNNNNNNNNNNNNNNNNNNNNNNNNNNNNNNNNNNNNNNNNNNNNNNNNNNNNNNNNNNNNNNNNNNNNNNNNNNNNNNNNNNNNNNNNNNNNNNNNNNNNNNNNNNUUAAUUGCAAAUCAAUUAAUGCGCAAUAACAAUUAAUACAUUUACCAAUUCAAAUCUUACCACACUUUCGUAAAGAUAAAGAAAUGAAUUAGAGAAGAGAAUGAACUCUUGACAGUAUAAGAACAAAAGGAAAAAAAUCAUGGUAUGCCUCUAAAAUACAACACUACCAAUAUAUCAAAAGUUCUAAUUUAAAGGUUCAAGUCUAGGAGAAUUUCGAUAUAGUUUGGCCAUAACUGUCUUUGGAUAAAAAAAUAGCCAGAUUUACAAGUGGUAAUUGAAAAAUAGCCACAGUUUCAAAAGUAAUUGAAAUUUAGCCAUUUUUCAUGUAAAGAUAAAAUUAAACUAAAACAUUAUUCAAAAUUCAAAAAAUAUUCCAUCAUAAUAUACUGGAGUUCGAAUUUUUUACACAUGAACUUCCAGCAUAAUAUACUGGAGUUCCAACAUAAUAUACUGGAGUUCCAGUAUAAUAUGCUGGAAGUUCAUACAUAGGUACUCCAAUCUCCAGUAUAUUAUGCUGGAACUUUUCGUGUGCUGGAGUUCCAGCAUAAUAUGCUGGAAGUUCAUACACAUAUUAAUUAUUAUGCUGGAAGUUCAUACAGAGGUGCACCAAUCUCUUGUAUAUUAUGCUAGAACUUUUCGUAUUGCAGCAAAAUAAUGACUAUCUUUUAAUGACUUUACAAACGCUGGCUAUUUUUUAAUUACCAGUUCGAAAACUGACUAGCCUGUAUUAUUUUCAUUAGAUGAUAGUAGUAAAUUUCUUCAACAUGUUCCCUUACGUGACAGAAUGAAAUGGAUUUAAUACGAUGAAGGUUCAAUAGAAAGCCCAUUUGGCGAUAAAGAGUCUCUAAUGGUAUCUAAACUUUGAAAUAAACCUAAAGUCAAAUUUUCCUUUUAGCGUGCAAAAAAAAAAAGAAACUAGGCACACUAAUGGAUACUUUCUUGAAUUGAUCAUUUUUAGUAAAAUGUUUUUCAUGAGAAAAUUAUUUUCAUUUUUUAGUAAAAUAUUUUUUAGAAUUUUAUUACCAUGUAAUGAAAAAUAUUUUCUGUUAAAAGGAGGAAAAUGACCUCUUACUUAACAACUAUGUUACUUUUUAAUUUAAAAAUCAAGACUAGAAAAUUAAAUUCAAGUGAUAGUUGGACUUGCAUUGCAUAACCAUACCAUUUAUUUUUUUAGAAAUGAGGUCAAGAUAACCGAGAGAAAAUAAACUUUUAAAAUGUUUUUGAACCUAAUUGCACAUAUGAGAUGUAAGUUAGUAUAAGAGUGUCUUUUUCAUUUCUGAACUCAUCCAACUCGACUCCCUUUUUAUUUUUUAUUUUAUUGACAAAAUUCUAAAUAAGAUCACAAGAAUGGAGACUCUUUUAUUUUUUCCACAAAAGUAAAAAAUAAAAUAUAUAAAGACAAAUGAAAAGAGAAGUCUGUUCUUUCGUAUGAAAAGCCGUUCUUUUUUCCACAGUCCUUUGCCGCCGGCUCUUCUCUCUAAGGUAUCUACCUAUAACUCUUUUUUUUUAAAAAAAAAAAAAUUUAUAAUUUUAUUUUUAAAGGAACCACUGUCAUGUGCAUUUAUCAACGAAAAAUUGUACAAGGAGGUGGACAUAAACCAAAACCUCCAUUAGAUAUUAGCUUUGAUAAAGCACCAAAAAAGGCUAACUAAUACGCUAAGUUUGAACUAGCUUUGUGCAACUUGUCAUGACCCAAAAUCCACCAGUCGUGAUGGCACCUAACUCGACCCGCUAGGUAAGCCAACUAACAGUCAAUACAAUCCAAAUGAUAUUUAUAGGAAAAUAGUGAAGAAUAAUCUGAACAUUUAUAUAUUAACCCAAUGACUGGUAGUACGAAUCAUGAGCUUCUAAGACUUGAAAUUUACAAAGCUGGUACAAAUAAUUACACGAUCUAUUUGAAAACUACAUAAAUAGAUUAGCAAAAUCUAAAGCUACCCAAGACAAGUGAUAGCUAUAUCUGUAAUGCACAAAUAUCUUCAGAGUCAGCUCCCGACAUCACCAGCAGCUCCGCUCUAAAAAUCUGCAUGCAAGGUGCAGAAGUGUACUAUGAGUAUAACUGACCCCAUAUACCCAGUAAGUAUCUUGUCUCACCUCGCCGAAGUAGUGACGAGGCCUUUUAGUUUAAAGAUACUGACUGGUAAACCUCUACUGUAAACUAGCAAUAGAACUAUACUACGAUAUAACAGAAAAGAGUACACGAAAUGAAUAUGCAAAGUAAUAACUAAGCAUUAGAAGAGAUCACAAUUUAACAUUUUCCAAUAUCUCGACAAAUCUUUUUCUUAGUGCGAAAACCAAUAAACCACAAUAGUCACUCCAUAACUUUCAUAGCGUGAGGAAUGUACUAAGAUAUCAAGUCAAUUGCACGGCAACACCCUUCGUGCAU
RNAcentral lists this long non-coding RNA (18489 nucleotides) under Nicotiana tabacum (common tobacco). RNAcentral describes it as "long non-coding RNA (NTAB_LNC017246)". Lineage: Eukaryota; Viridiplantae; Streptophyta; Magnoliopsida; Solanales; Solanaceae. The record is from RNAcentral.